GGGCACUUGGCACAGUUGGUAGCGCGCACGCUUCGCAUGCGUGAGGUCAGGAGUUCGACUCUCCUAGUGUCCA
RNAcentral lists this transfer RNA (73 nucleotides) under Collybiopsis luxurians FD-317 M1. RNAcentral's name for it is "tRNA-Ala (CGC) (tRNA-Ala-CGC-2 1 to 4)". It matches the Rfam family "tRNA". Rfam says of the family: Transfer RNA (tRNA) molecules are approximately 80 nucleotides in length. Their secondary structure includes four short double-helical elements and three loops (D, anti-codon, and T loops). Lineage: Eukaryota; Fungi; Basidiomycota; Agaricomycetes; Agaricales; Omphalotaceae. The record is from RNAcentral.